Molecule: long non-coding RNA, 294 nt
Organism: Sander lucioperca (pikeperch)
Lineage: Eukaryota; Metazoa; Chordata; Actinopteri; Perciformes; Percidae
Exons: 2
Source: RefSeq, a predicted model, not a curated record
CAUGUGUGUACGUUAAAUAUGAAGUUCCCUCGAGCAGACGUUAGCUUAGCUUAGCAUAAAGACUGGAAACGGCUAGCCUGACUCCGUCCAAAGGUAAACCUACCAGACAUGAGUGGUGAUGAUCUUUUUAUCCAAAAUGUCCAGAUAGAAAAUAAAAGUGUAUAUUUUGUCGGACCUUUCUGUGAUACAAGAGGAGAAUGCAACUGUAAUAACACUUCAUAAUAACUAUUAAUAAUUCAUAUAGUCCACUGGUUUAAUGAACUGGUUACUUUUUAUUCUUAAAACUGAUGUGUU